AGAUGAAAUUUAAAAAAAAAAAAAGGCAUAGUAGAAUAAAGAUGAAAAACAGCAGACAUCCAGUCUAAACAUUUAAGGUAACAGAGUCAGGGACAGUACGUCUUACAAUCAUCACACCCUUUUCACAGUGUCUAGAAAAAUAAUCAGGUAGAGCCAUCAUAGUUCCACUCGCCCUACCCAACGUUUUAACAUAUCAUAUGCAUAAACAACUGAGGAAAGACUGGCAUCAAAUGCCAGAAACUAUACAGCUAAUUUUUCCACCAAGUGUUUCACCGCAUAUUUUCUCUGCGACGUACAUAUCGGGUUCUAUCAUUGUAUCUGGGUCUGUCGUUAGCUCUUUGUGGCUGUGGUUCCACCCUUCUCUGUCUUUCAGGUGAUCUUUGAACAAUCUCUCCAUUCACGAACAACUCAGCUACAACAUGAACAAGAUGUGCAAAAUUUAUAACAAUCAUCAUGAGGGACUACCACAAUGGCUAACACUUUUUCCAACUUGAAACUUGCAUACAAAUAAUACACUACUUCAACAGUAAAUCCUAUACCAAUUUUUAUUUAACUACCAUAACGUGCUUAUUCAAUGUAAAAGUAUAAACAAAAUUUUAAAACAAGAAUGAACUUCAAAGAAUUAAAAUUCAUGUCUCAUCUCCAAUGAUUCUGCAGCUCCAUUUAGUACAAGGAGUACAGUACAGAACAGGUGAGAGAAGUUUAUUGUGAGUCCAUUAGCAUUCAAAGCUAGACAUUACCCAGUAGGGGUUAUUAGCUUUGCCAAGAUGGACCACAAUGGAAAACAAUAGUUACCAAAAAAAAAAAAAGGACACUCACAAUAAAUGCAUGAGCCGCAAGUCUAAAAUCAAAGAAUCUUAACUAAAACAGUUCUAUAUCUCAACAAAAUACAGAACACAUGGUACAAAGAUAAAAGGGGUAAUGCGAAAAAUUUGAUUCUGAUCCUCUAAGAGUUAAAGCAACAUAUUGCCCCUCAAGGCCACUGUCAUUGCCAGAUAAGAUGAGGUGAAAAUGGAGGCAAAAAAACUCCCCAACAUAAAAAUAAAGGAUGGAGAAGGGGCUGUAAUUAGGAUGUCCACCAAAACAUGAUGGCACGGCCAGCUCCCCUCAACUCAACACAAAUAAGAAAAGACAAAAAAGGAGGUAAUUAGAUCAGUGUAUAGUAAGACACAGGUAAUUAUGCUUUUGACAAGGAAAUAAUUGCAUCAUUCACCUAUAAACACAAACAAAUGUUGUGAUAAUCCUAUUUGACCCCCACUGAUCAGCAGCUUCACAGUGUAUACAAAACAAAUAAUGGUUUAGAGAGAUCAUUUUAUGCUAGAUUGCCCGCAAACCUCCUUCAGCUUUGCCAAGAUGGACUGUGCAUUAAAGGAAAAUUCAAUUAUACAGUCACAUCAUUUCAUAUUUCAUAUUCGAUAGAAGUAGAAACAACUGCACUCCCUUUUGUGAAAAUUAGCAUCGAUCUCUUUAUGAUUCAUCUAUAAACACAAUCAAAUGUUGCACAGUUAUGUUUGAUCUCUACUGAUCUGAACCUUCACAGAAUAUAAAAAGUACAGAACAGUUUAGAGAGAACAUUUGGUGUAAGUCCAUUAGCAUUCAAAGCUCAUCAUUGCCUGCAAGACUCAUUAAGCUUUGCCAAGAUGGACUGCAGAUUAAAGGAAAACCAAUUACAAAAUCACAUCAUUUCCUAAUCCAUAUUGCAUAAAAGUAGAAGCACUGCACUGCCUCUUGUCAAAAUCAAGACUGAUUAACAUUGAUUUCAUCAUUCAUCUAUAAACUCACAAACAAAGAC
This 1792-nucleotide unclassified non-coding RNA is filed under the name Hevea brasiliensis (rubber tree). The record is from RNAcentral. Lineage: Eukaryota; Viridiplantae; Streptophyta; Magnoliopsida; Malpighiales; Euphorbiaceae.